RNAcentral lists this unclassified non-coding RNA (337 nucleotides) under uncultured fungus. Its description in RNAcentral is "partial contains 5.8S ribosomal RNA and internal transcribed spacer 2". The stretch from base 1 to 133 matches the Rfam family "5.8S ribosomal RNA", at positions 22 to 154 of the family's 154-position model. Lineage: Eukaryota; Fungi. The record is from RNAcentral.
UGGUUCUGGCAUCGAUGAAGAACGCAGCGAAAUGCGAUAAGUAAUGUGAAUUGCAGAAUUCAGUGAAUCAUCGAAUCUUUGAACGCACAUUGCGCCCGCUAGCAUUCUGGCGGGCAUGCUUGUUCGAGCGUCCUCAAAAACCCUCGAGCCGGGCAGACCUAGGUCUGCGCGGCCCGGUGUUGGGGCGCCGCGGCUGCCGCGGCCCCCUAAAUCCAGUGGCGGACUCUCCCGAGGCCUUGACGUAGUAAUUUAUUAUCGUCUUCGGCCCCCGGGCGGGCCCUGCCCCUAAACCCAACUCUCCAAAUUGGACCUCGAAUCAAGUAGGAAUACCCGCUGA